RNAcentral lists this ribosomal RNA (109 nucleotides) under Pteropus alecto (black flying fox). Lineage: Eukaryota; Metazoa; Chordata; Mammalia; Chiroptera; Pteropodidae. The record is from RNAcentral.
GUCUACGGCCAUAACACCCUGAACGUUCCUGAUCUCAGAAGCUAAGCAGGGUCAGGUCUGGUUAGUACUUGGAUGGGAGACCACCUAGGAAGACCAGGUGCUGUAGGCG